GGGAUUGUAGCUCAGCGGUAGAGCGCUCACCUAGCAUGUGUGAGGCCCUGGGUUCGAUUCUCAGCACCA
This 69-nucleotide transfer RNA is filed under the name Ictidomys tridecemlineatus (thirteen-lined ground squirrel). RNAcentral's name for it is "Spermophilus tridecemlineatus (thirteen-lined ground squirrel) tRNA". It matches the Rfam family "tRNA". Rfam says of the family: Transfer RNA (tRNA) molecules are approximately 80 nucleotides in length. The record is from Rfam by way of RNAcentral. Lineage: Eukaryota; Metazoa; Chordata; Mammalia; Rodentia; Sciuridae.